RNAcentral lists this ribosomal RNA (514 nucleotides) under uncultured bacterium. RNAcentral's name for it is "partial 16S ribosomal RNA". It matches the Rfam family "Bacterial small subunit ribosomal RNA", at positions 28 to 523 of the family's 1533-position model. The record is from RNAcentral.
GAUGAACGCUGGCGGCGUGCCUAAUACAUGCAAGUCGAGCGAACAGAUGAGAAGCUUGCUUCUCUGAUGUUAGCGGCGGACGGGUGAGUAACACGUGGGUAACCUACCUAUAAGACUAGGAUAACUCCGGGAAACCGGGGCUAAUACCGGAUAAUAUUUUGAACCGCAUGGUUCAAUAGUGAAAGACGGUUUCGGCUGUCACUUAUAGAUGGACCCGCGCCGUAUUAGCUAGUUGGUAAGGUAACGGCUUACCAAGGCGACGAUACGUAGCCGACCUGAGAGGGUGAUCGGCCACACUGGAACUGAGACACGGUCCAGACUCCUACGGGAGGCAGCAGUAGGGAAUCUUCCGCAGUGGGCGAAAGCCUGACGGAGCAACGCCGCGUGAGUGAUGAAGGUCUUCGGAUCGUAAAACUCUGUUGUUAGGGAAGAACAAAUUUGUUAGUAACUGAACAAGUCUUGACGGUACCUAACCAGAGAGCCACGGCUAACUACGUGCCAGCAGCCGCCGUAA